UGCUGGAGGUAUCAGAAGUGCGAAUGCUGACAUAAGUAACGAUAAAGCGGGUGAAAAGCCCGCUCGCCGGAAGACCAAGGGUUCCUGUCCAACGUUAAUCGGGGCAGGGUGAGUCGACCCCUAAGGCGAGGCCGAAAGGCGUAGUCGAUGGGAAACGGGUUAAUAUUCCCGUACUUGGUGUUACUGCGAAGGGGGGACGGAGAAGGCUAUGUUGGCCGGGCGACGGUUGUCCCGGUUUAAGCGUGUAGGUGUGUGUUCCAGGUAAAUCCGGUUCACUUUAACACUGAGGCGUGACGACGAGGCACUACGGUGCUGAA
Molecule: ribosomal RNA, 317 nt
Filed under: Salmonella enterica
Lineage: Bacteria; Pseudomonadati; Pseudomonadota; Gammaproteobacteria; Enterobacterales; Enterobacteriaceae
Description: bacterial LSU rRNA
Rfam family: Bacterial large subunit ribosomal RNA
Source: RNAcentral